RNAcentral lists this ribosomal RNA (253 nucleotides) under uncultured bacterium. Its description in RNAcentral is "partial 16S ribosomal RNA". It matches the Rfam family "Bacterial small subunit ribosomal RNA", at positions 524 to 776 of the family's 1533-position model. The record is from RNAcentral.
UACGUAGGAUGCAAGCGUUAUCCGGAAUGAUUGGGCGUAAAGCGUCCGCAGGUGGCUAUGUAAGUCUGCUGUUAAAGAGUGAGGCUCAACCUCAUAAAAGCAGUGGAAACUACAUGGCUAGAGUGCGUUCGGGGCAGAGGGAAUUCCUGGUGUAGCGGUGAAAUGCGUAGAUAUCAGGAAGAACACCGGUGGCGAAAGCGCUCUGCUAGGCCGCAACUGACACUGAGGGACGAAAGCUAGGGGAGCGAAUGGG